RNAcentral lists this ribosomal RNA (494 nucleotides) under uncultured bacterium. RNAcentral's name for it is "partial 16S ribosomal RNA". It matches the Rfam family "Bacterial small subunit ribosomal RNA", at positions 31 to 507 of the family's 1533-position model. The record is from RNAcentral.
GAACGCUGGCGGCGUGCCUAAUACAUGCAAGUCGAGCGAACGGACGAGAAGCUUGCUUCUCUGAUGUUAGCGGCGGACGGGUGAGUAACACGUGGAUAACCUACCUAUAAGACUGGGAUAACUUCGGGAAACCGGAGCUAAUACCGGAUGAUAUUUUGAACCGCAUGGUUCAACAGUGAAAGACGGUCUUGCUGUCACUUAUAGAUGGAUCCGCGCUGCAUUAGCUAGUUGGUAAGGUAACGGCUUACCAAGGCAACGAUGCAUAGCCGACCUGAGAGGGUGAUCGGCCACACUGGAACUGAGACACGGUCCAGACUCCUACGGGAGGCAGCAGUAGGGAAUCUUCCGCAAUGGGCGAAAGCCUGACGGAGCAACGCCGCGUGAGUGAUGAAGGUCUUCGGAUCGUAAAACUCUGUUAUUAGGGAAGAACAUAUGUGUAAGUAACUGUGCACAUCUUGACGGUACCUAAUCAGAAAGCCACGGCUAACUACGUG